This 251-nucleotide ribosomal RNA is filed under the name uncultured prokaryote. Its description in RNAcentral is "partial 16S rRNA". It matches the Rfam family "Bacterial small subunit ribosomal RNA", at positions 525 to 775 of the family's 1533-position model. The record is from RNAcentral.
ACGGAGGGUGCAAGCGUUAUUCGGAUUUAUUGGGCGUAAAGGGCGCGCAGGCGGUUUUUUAGGUCGGAUGUGAAAUCCCGUGGCUUAACUGCGGAAGUGCAUUCGAAACCGGAAGACUUGAGUAUGGGAGAGGGAAGCGGAAUUCCCGGUGUAGCGGUGAAAUGCGUAGAUAUCAGAAGGAACACCUGUGGCGCAAGCGGUUUCCCGGACCAAAACUGACUCUGAAGCACGAAAGCGCGGGGAUCAAACAG